CUGCCACCCAGGCUAGAGUGCAAUGGCAUGACCAUAGCUCACUGCUACCUCAAACACCUGGGCUCAAGUGAUCCCCCUGCCUCAGCCUCUCAAUUCCAGGAUACAUGUGCAGGAUGUGCAAGUUUGCUACAUGGGUAAAUAUGUGCCAUGGCAGUUUGCUGCAUCUAUUAACCCAUUACCUAGGUAUUAAGCCCG
RNAcentral lists this unclassified non-coding RNA (195 nucleotides) under Homo sapiens (human). RNAcentral describes it as "long intergenic non-protein coding RNA 1194 (ENSG00000273954.1)". The record is from RNAcentral. Lineage: Eukaryota; Metazoa; Chordata; Mammalia; Primates; Hominidae.